GCGUGGGAACGUGCCCUUCAGUUCGGAAUAACCCAGGGAAACUUGGGCUAAUACCGGAUACGUGCGAGAGCAGAAAGAUUUAUCGCUGAAGGAUCGGCCCGCGUCUGAUUAGCUAGUUGGUAGGGUAAUGGCCUACCAAGGCGACGAUCAGUAGCUGGUCUGAGAGGAUGAUCAGCCACAUUGGGACUGAGACACGGCCCAAACUCCUACGGGAGGCAGCAGUGGGGAAUAUUGGACAAUGGGCGCAAGCCUGAUCCAGCCAUGCCGCGUGAGUGAUGAAGGCCUUAGGGUUGUAAAGCUCUUUCGUCCGGGACGAUAAUGACGGUACCGGAAGAAGAAGCCCCGGCUAACUUCGUGCCAGCAGCCGCGGUAAUACGAAGGGGGCUAGCGUUGUUCGGAAUCACUGGGCGUAAAGGGCGCGUAGGCGGCUUUGUAAGUCGGGGGUGAAAGCCUGUGGCUCAACCACAGAAUUGCCUUCGAUACUGCAUGGCUUGAGACCGGAAGAGGUUAGUGGAACUGCGAGUGUAGAGGUGAAAUUCGUAGAUAUUCGCAAGAACACCAGUGGCGAAGGCGGCUGACUGGUCCGGUUCUGACGCUGA
This 599-nucleotide ribosomal RNA is filed under the name [Frankia] sp. CePY. Its description in RNAcentral is "bacterial SSU rRNA". It matches the Rfam family "Bacterial small subunit ribosomal RNA", at positions 115 to 749 of the family's 1533-position model. The record is from RNAcentral.